This 492-nucleotide ribosomal RNA is filed under the name uncultured bacterium. Its description in RNAcentral is "partial 16S ribosomal RNA". It matches the Rfam family "Bacterial small subunit ribosomal RNA", at positions 28 to 507 of the family's 1533-position model. The record is from RNAcentral.
GAUGAACGCUAGCUACAGGCUUAACACAUGCAAGUCGAGGGGAAACGACAUCGAAAGCUUGCUUUUGAUGGGCGUCGACCGGCGCACGGGUGAGUAACGCGUAUCCAACCUGCCCAUCACUUGGGAAUAACCUUGCGAAAGUAAGACUAAUACCCAAUGACAUCCCACGAAGACAUCUGAAUGGGAUUACAGAUUUAUCGGUGAUUGAUGGGGAUGCGUCUGAUUAGCUUGUUGGCGGGGUAACGGCCCACCAAGGCAACGAUCAGUAGGGGUUCUGAGAGGAAGGUCCCCCACAUUGGAACUGAGACACGGUCCAAACUCCUACGGGAGGCAGCAGUGAGGAAUAUUGGUCAAUGGGCGAGAGCCUGAACCAGCCAAGUAGCGUGCAGGAUGACGGCCCUAUGGGUUGUAAACUGCUUUUAUAAGGGAAUAAAGUGGGUCUCGUGAGACUUUUUGCAUGUACCUUAUGAAUAAGGACCGGCUAAUUCCGUG